Molecule: ribosomal RNA, 498 nt
Filed under: uncultured bacterium
Lineage: Bacteria
Description: partial 16S ribosomal RNA
Rfam family: Bacterial small subunit ribosomal RNA
Source: RNAcentral
AUUGAACGCUGGCGGCAUGCUUUACACAUGCAAGUCGAGCGGCAGCGCGGGGCAACCUGGCGGCGAGCGGCGAACGGGUGAGGAACACAUCGGAACGUACCCGAGAGUGGGGGAUAACGCCGCGAAAGCGGCGCUAAUACCGCAUAUUCUCUUUGGAGGAAAGUGGGGGACCGCAAGGCCUCACGCUCACGGAGCGGCCGAUGUCCGAUUAGCUAGUUGGUGGGGUAAAGGCUUACCAAGGCGACGAUCGGUAGCUGGUCUGAGAGGAUGAUCAGGCACACUGGGACUGAGACACGGCCCAGACUCCUACGGGAGGCAGCAGUGGGGAAUUUUGGACAAUGGGGGCAACCCUGAUCCAGCCAUGCCGCGUGCGGGAAGAAGGCCUUCGGGUUGUAAACCGCUUUUAGCCGGGAAGAAAAGGCGAUUCCUAAUAGGGGUCGUUCUUGACGGUACCGGCGGAAUAAGCACCGGCUAACUACGUGCCAGCAGCCGCCGUAA